CCCCUCUCAGGGUCACACCUGGAGAGUUUCCAGGACUCUACCAGCCCCAACUAUAGGAGGGAGAGUCUGGCAGAGGCACUUCCAUUCCAUUCCUAGCUUGAGUAGUGGCUAGCGAGUGGAAGGUAAUCUGCUACAGGU
Molecule: small nucleolar RNA, 138 nt
Organism: Tachyglossus aculeatus (Australian echidna)
Lineage: Eukaryota; Metazoa; Chordata; Mammalia; Monotremata; Tachyglossidae
Source: RefSeq, a predicted model, not a curated record